This 2263-nucleotide ribosomal RNA is filed under the name Streptococcus pneumoniae. Its description in RNAcentral is "23S ribosomal RNA". It matches the Rfam family "Bacterial large subunit ribosomal RNA", at positions 3 to 2291 of the family's 2925-position model. Lineage: Bacteria; Bacillati; Bacillota; Bacilli; Lactobacillales; Streptococcaceae. The record is from RNAcentral.
UUAAGUUAAUAAGGGCGCACGGUGGAUGCCUUGGCACUAGGAGCCGACGAAGGACGUGACAAACGACGAUAUGCCUUGGGUAGCUGUAAGUAAGCGAUGAUCCAGGGAUUUCCGAAUGGGGGAACCCAACAGGUAGUACCUGUUACCCACAUCUGUUAAGGAUGUGAGGAGGAAGACGCAGUGAACUGAAACAUCUAAGUAGCUGCAGGAAGAGAAAGCAAAAGCGAUUGCCUUAGUAGCGGCGAGCGAAACGGCAGAAGGGCAAACCGAAGAGUUUACUCUUCGGGGUUGUAGGACUGCAAUGUGGACUCAAAGAUUAUAGAAGAAUGAUUUGGGAAGAUCAGCCAAAGAGAGUAAUAGCCUCGUAUUUUAAAUAGUCUUUGUACCUAGCAGUAUCCUGAGUACGGCGGGACACGGGAAAUCCCGUCGGAAUCUGGGAGGACCAUCUCCCAACCCUAAAUACUCCCUAGUGACCGAUAGUGAACCAGUACCGUGAGGGAAAGGUGAAAAGCACCCCGGGAGGGGAGUGAAAUAGAACCUGAAACCGUGUGCCUACAACAAGUUCGAGCCCGUUAAUGGGUGAGAGCGUGCCUUUUGUAGAAUGAACCGGCGAGUUACGUUAUGAUGCGAGGUUAAGUUGAAGAGACGGAGCCGUAGGGAAACCGAGUCUGAAUAGGGCGCCUUAGUAUCAUGACGUAGACCCGAAACCAUGUGACCUACCCAUGAGCAGGUUGAAGGUGCGGUAAGACGCACUGGAGGACCGAACCAGGGCACGUUGAAAAGUGCUUGGAUGACUUGUGGGUAGCGGAGAAAUUCCAAACGAACUUGGAGAUAGCUGGUUCUCUCCGAAAUAGCUUUAGGGCUAGCGUCGACAUUAGAGAUUCUUGGAGGUAGAGCACUGUUUGGGUGAGGGGUCCAUCCCGGAUUACCAAUCUCAGAUAAACUCCGAAUGCCAAUGAAUUAUGGUCGGCAGUCAGACUGCGAGUGCUAAGAUCCGUAGUCGAAAGGGAAACAGCCCAGACCACCAGCUAAGGUCCCAAAAUAAUUGUUAAGUGGAAAAGGAUGUGGGGUUGCACAGACAACUAGGAUGUUAGCUUAGAAGCAGCUAUUCAUUCAAAGAGUGCGUAAUAGCUCACUAGUCGAGUGACCCUGCGCCGAAAAUGUACCGGGGCUAAAACAAUUUACCGAAGCUGUGGAUACCUUUAUAGGUAUGGUAGGAGAGCGUUCUAUGUGUGAUGAAGGUAUACCGUGAGGAGUGCUGGAACGCAUAGAAGUGAGAAUGCCGGUAUGAGUAGCGAAAGACAGGUGAGAAUCCUGUCCACCGUAAGACUAAGGUUUCCAGGGGAAGGCUCGUCCGCCCUGGGUUAGUCGGGACCUAAGGAGAGACCGAAAGGUGUAUCCGAUGGACAACAGGUUGAUAUUCCUGUACUAGAGUAUGUAGUGAUGGAGGGACGCAGUAGGCUAACUAAAGCAGACGAUUGGAAGAGUCUGUCUAAGCAGUGAGGGUGAAUUGAGUCAAAUGCUUAAUUCUAUAACAUUGAGCUGUGAUGGGGGCGAAGUUUAGUAGCGAAGUUAGUGAUGUCACACUGCCAAGAAAAGCUUCUAGCGUUUAAACAUACUCUACCCGUACCGCAAACCGACACAGGUAGUCGAGGCGAGUAGCCUCAGGUGAGCGAGAGAACUCUCGUUAAGGAACUCGGCAAAAUGACCCCGUAACUUCGGGAGAAGGGGUGCUGACUUUAAGUCAGCCGCAGUGAAUAGGCCCAAGCAACUGUUUAUCAAAAACACAGCUCUCCGCUAAAUCGUAAGAUGAUGUAUAGGGGGUGACGCCUGCCCGGUGCUGGAAGGUUAAGAGGAGUGCUUAGCGUAAGCGAAGGUAUGAAUUGAAGCCCCAGUAAACGGCGGCCGUAACUAUAACGGUCCUAAGGUAGCGAAAUUCCUUGUCGGGUAAGUUCCGACCCGCACGAAAGGCGUAAUGAUUUGGGCACUGUCUCAACGAGAGACUCGGUGAAAUUUUAGUACCUGUGAAGAUGCAGGUUACCCGCGACAGGACGGAAAGACCCCAUGGAGCUUUACUGCAGUUUGAUAUUGAGUGUCUGUACCACAUGUACAGGAUAGGUAGGAGUCUAAGAGAUCGGGACGCCAGUUUCGAAGGAGACGCUGUUGGGAUACUACCCUUGUGUUAUGGCCACUCUAACCCAGAUAGGUGAUCCCUAUCGGAGACAGUGUCUGACGGGCAGUUUGACUGGGGCGGGCGCCUCCC